GCCGGAAUAGCUCAGUCGGUAGA
RNAcentral lists this transfer RNA (23 nucleotides) under Bryolawtonia vancouveriensis. Its description in RNAcentral is "partial transfer RNA-Phe". Lineage: Eukaryota; Viridiplantae; Streptophyta; Bryopsida; Hypnales; Neckeraceae. The record is from RNAcentral.